Portunus trituberculatus (swimming crab) is the source of this 1158-nucleotide long non-coding RNA. RefSeq lists it as uncharacterized. The record is from RefSeq and is a predicted model, not a curated record. NCBI's taxonomy places the organism in Eukaryota, Metazoa, Arthropoda, Malacostraca, Decapoda, Portunidae. The transcript has 2 exons.
CAUUAUUUUUAUGUCCAUUAGAAUCUGCUCCAUGUUGUACCUACGUAUUUAGUUAUGAAUGGCUGUCAACAAAAAAACUGACAACUGCUCAUAAAUCUUAGCUUGUAUCUAAAGUGUAAAGAAUGUAUAGAGUCAAAUAUGGCUCCAUCAUCAUUGAGAUGUAAAUAUUGCUGCAACAUUCAUGCAGCAGCUUUAAAUCCAUUCACUGGUGUCAGUACAUUUCUCAUCUCUAUCUGGUAGGAACCAUAAUCAUAUGUCAUUGUAAAAUCAUUGAUAUUUGGCAUUGAGCUAGGUAUGGUAAGUAUAUAUAUACUUGUAUAAUUGAUCUUUCAAACUUGAACUGUUUUUCUCUUCCAGGCAGCUUUGACUACAUAUAGCUAUACUUUCAGUCAGAUACGAUAAUAAGUUCUAUUUUUUCCAUUUGAUGUGGUUUGGUAGGCAAGUCUGUUUGGGAGAGGCACCAGCAUUGUGUCACUAUCCCACUUAUUGACCUUCUUCACAAAGUAUUUGUAUUUUUCACUACAAUUUUUCCUACAAUUAAGCACAAUUUUAGGUCUCAUUAGGGUAAAAAAACAAAUGGAAAUUGUUAUGUGUCUAUAAAAUGUUAUGGUUGAUGCAUCGAUUUACUGGUAAUUAAUAUUUACUGUAAUUUUGAAAACAACUGUAGCAUAUCACAUGUGUUCUUCUGUAAAAAUUAUUUCUGAAUAUGAUUCUGUAUUUAAGUUUUCAUAAAUAGUUUAAGGAUAAAAUAACCUGUUUUACUCAAUGCUUGUUUUCUUAGUAGCUGUAAAUAUUGAAUGUUUGUAAAAAGGUGCAUAAACCAUAAGAGUUUUUACUUACUAUCUAUUGAUUCAGUUACAGAACGAAGGCUUAAUUCUGUGAUGUCAGUUAAAUUUUCUGAUUUUGUGAGUUAAGCAGAGAAAUAUAGAUAUCUCCCAAAGAAGGCGGGAAGGUAACAUAUACUGGUGCCUGUGUCAAGCAGACUUAAAAAGCCAAACACCAUAGACAAAAAAAUGGAACUAAUCUUGUUUUAUUUCAAUGGAGUAUUGUAGACUAUCAUAUUGUAUGUUCCUGAGUUUAUUUGUUUGAUACCUGUUUUCCUCGAACAUUCCUUGAAUAUGUUAAAUUUGUAGAUUAUUUGAUUGGUAUAUUAGUUAC